GCCGGGGUAGCUCAGUCAGUAGAGCAUGGGUCUCUUCGGACUCAGCAACACAGGUCAAUUUGUAAUGUUAAAAACGUGUUCUAAAAAUGUGACACCGGUUGGCGCUGUAGAGGAGAAUCCAAAGUCAAUGGCAGAUUGCCUGGGAACGUCUUUUCUUCAUAUAGAGUUUUUAAUAGCGGUUUGUUUUUUUUAAAUAUAUCUGUAUAGAUCUAGCCUUAAUCUCAGGGUCAUGGAUUUGAGCCCCAUGUUGGGCA
This is a non-coding RNA of Podarcis lilfordi (Lilford's wall lizard), 254 nucleotides long. The record is from the annotation of a GenBank genome assembly. Lineage: Eukaryota; Metazoa; Chordata; Lepidosauria; Squamata; Lacertidae.